This is a non-coding RNA of Paraphysoderma sedebokerense, 88 nucleotides long. The record is from the annotation of a GenBank genome assembly. NCBI's taxonomy places the organism in Eukaryota, Fungi, Blastocladiomycota, Physodermatomycetes, Physodermatales, Physodermataceae.
GCAAAGUUGGUUUAGUGGUAUAAUUGCCGCCUGCCAAGUUAAUGAACUUAGAUCGCGGCAGACCCGGGUUCGAUUCCCGGACUUUGCA